Molecule: ribosomal RNA, 2927 nt
Filed under: Escherichia coli
Lineage: Bacteria; Pseudomonadati; Pseudomonadota; Gammaproteobacteria; Enterobacterales; Enterobacteriaceae
Description: bacterial LSU rRNA
Rfam family: Bacterial large subunit ribosomal RNA
Source: RNAcentral
GGGUUGUGAGGUUAAGCGACUAAGCGUACACGGUGGAUGCCCUGGCAGUCAGAGGCGAUGAAGGACGUGCUAAUCUGCGAUAAGCGUCGGUAAGGUGAUAUGAACCGUUAUAACCGGCGAUUUCCGAAUGGGGAAACCCAGUGUGAUUCGUCACACUAUCAUUAACUGAAUCCAUAGGUUAAUGAGGCGAACCGGGGGAACUGAAACAUCUAAGUACCCCGAGGAAAAGAAAUCAACCGAGAUUCCCCCAGUAGCGGCGAGCGAACGGGGAGCAGCCCAGAGCCUGAAUCAGUGUGUGUGUUAGUGGAAGCGUCUGGAAAGGCGCGCGAUACAGGGUGACAGCCCCGUACACAAAAAUGCACAUGCUGUGAGCUCGAUGAGUAGGGCGGGACACGUGGUAUCCUGUCUGAAUAUGGGGGGACCAUCCUCCAAGGCUAAAUACUCCUGACUGACCGAUAGUGAACCAGUACCGUGAGGGAAAGGCGAAAAGAACCCCGGCGAGGGGAGUGAAAAAGAACCUGAAACCGUGUACGUACAAGCAGUGGGAGCACAGAGCAAUCUGUGUGACUGCGUACCUUUUGUAUAAUGGGUCAGCGACUUAUAUUCUGUAGCAAGGUUAACCGAAUAGGGGAGCCGAAGGGAAACCGAGUCUUAACUGGGCGUUAAGUUGCAGGGUAUAGACCCGAAACCCGGUGAUCUAGCCAUGGGCAGGUUGAAGGUUGGGUAACACUAACUGGAGGACCGAACCGACUAAUGUUGAAAAAUUAGCGGAUGACUUGUGGCUGGGGGUGAAAGGCCAAUCAAACCGGGAGAUAGCUGGUUCUCCCCGAAAGCUAUUUAGGUAGCGCCUCGUGAAUUCAUCUCCGGGGGUAGAGCACUGUUUCGGCAAGGGGGUCAUCCCGACUUACCAACCCGAUGCAAACUGCGAAUACCGGAGAAUGUUAUCACGGGAGACACACGGCGGGUGCUAACGUCCGUCGUGAAGAGGGAAACAACCCAGACCGCCAGCUAAGGUCCCAAAGUCAUGGUUAAGUGGGAAACGAUGUGGGAAGGCCCAGACAGCCAGGAUGUUGGCUUAGAAGCAGCCAUCAUUUAAAGAAAGCGUAAUAGCUCACUGGUCGAGUCGGCCUGCGCGGAAGAUGUAACGGGGCUAAACCAUGCACCGAAGCUGCGGCAGCGACGCUUAUGCGUUGUUGGGUAGGGGAGCGUUCUGUAAGCCUGCGAAGGUGUGCUGUGAGGCAUGCUGGAGGUAUCAGAAGUGCGAAUGCUGACAUAAGUAACGAUAAAGCGGGUGAAAAGCCCGCUCGCCGGAAGACCAAGGGUUCCUGUCCAACGUUAAUCGGGGCAGGGUGAGUCGACCCCUAAGGCGAGGCCGAAAGGCGUAGUCGAUGGGAAACAGGUUAAUAUUCCUGUACUUGGUGUUACUGCGAAGGGGGGACGGAGAAGGCUAUGUUGGCCGGGCGACGGUUGUCCCGGUUUAAGCGUGUAGGCUGGUUUUCCAGGCAAAUCCGGAAAACUAAGGCUGAGGCGUGAUGACGAGGCACUACGGUGCUGAAGCAACAAAUGCCCUGCUUCCAGGAAAAGCCUCUAAGCAUCAGGUAACAUCAAAUCGUACCCCAAACCGACACAGGUGGUCAGGUAGAGAAUACCAAGGCGCUUGAGAGAACUCGGGUGAAGGAACUAGGCAAAAUGGUGCCGUAACUUCGGGAGAAGGCACGCUGAUAUGUAGGUGAAGCGACUUGCUCGUGGAGCUGAAAUCAGUCGAAGAUACCAGCUGGCUGCAACUGUUUAUUAAAAACACAGCACUGUGCAAACACGAAAGUGGACGUAUACGGUGUGACGCCUGCCCGGUGCCGGAAGGUUAAUUGAUGGGGUCAGCGCAAGCGAAGCUCUUGAUCGAAGCCCCGGUAAACGGCGGCCGUAACUAUAACGGUCCUAAGGUAGCGAAAUUCCUUGUCGGGUAAGUUCCGACCUGCACGAAUGGCGUAAUGAUGGCCAGGCUGUCUCCACCCGAGACUCAGUGAAAUUGAACUCGCUGUGAAGAUGCAGUGUACCCGCGGCAAGACGGAAAGACCCCGUGAACCUUUACUAUAGCUUGACACUGAACAUUGAGCCUUGAUGUGUAGGAUAGGUGGGAGGCUUGGAAGUGUGGACGCCAGUCUGCAUGGAGCCGACCUUGAAAUACCACCCUUUAAUGUUUGAUGUUCUAACGUUGACCCGUAAUCCGGGUUGCGGACAGUGUCUGGUGGGUAGUUUGACUGGGGCGGUCUCCUCCUAAAGAGUAACGGAGGAGCACGAAGGUUGGCUAAUCCUGGUCGGACAUCAGGAGGUUAGUGCAAUGGCAUAAGCCAGCUUGACUGCGAGCGUGACGGCGCGAGCAGGUGCGAAAGCAGGUCAUAGUGAUCCGGUGGUUCUGAAUGGAAGGGCCAUCGCUCAACGGAUAAAAGGUACUCCGGGGAUAACAGGCUGAUACCGCCCAAGAGUUCAUAUCGACGGCGGUGUUUGGCACCUCGAUGUCGGCUCAUCACAUCCUGGGGCUGAAGUAGGUCCCAAGGGUAUGGCUGUUCGCCAUUUAAAGUGGUACGCGAGCUGGGUUUAGAACGUCGUGAGACAGUUCGGUCCCUAUCUGCCGUGGGCGCUGGAGAACUGAGGGGGGCUGCUCCUAGUACGAGAGGACCGGAGUGGACGCAUCACUGGUGUUCGGGUUGUCAUGCCAAUGGCACUGCCCGGUAGCUAAAUGCGGAAGAGAUAAGUGCUGAAAGCAUCUAAGCACGAAACUUGCCCCGAGAUGAGUUCUCCCUGACUCCUUGAGAGUCCUGAAGGAACGUUGAAGACGACGACGUUGAUAGGCCGGGUGUGUAAGCGCAGCGAUGCGUUGAGCUAACCGGUACUAAUGAACCGUGAGGCUUAACCUUACAACGCCGAAG